GAUGAACGCUAGCGGCAGGCCUAAUACAUGCAAGUCGAACGGGAUCUGAGGGUAGCUUGCUACCCGAUUUGAGAGUGGCGCACGGGUGCGUAACGCGUGAGCAACCUACCCAUAUCAGGGGGAUAGCCCGAAGAAAUUCGGAUUAACACCGCAUAAUAAUACGCUAACACAUGUUAAUGUAUUAAAUAUUUAUAGGAUAUGGAAGGGCUCGCGCGACAUUAGCUAGUUGGUAAGGUAACGGCUUACCAAGGCGACGAUGUCUAGGGGCUCUGAGAGGAGAAUCCCCCACACUGGUACUGAGACACGGACCAGACUCCUACGGGAGGCAGCAGUAAGGAAUAUUGGUCAAUGGGCGCGAGCCUGAACCAGCCAUGCCGCGUGCAGGAUGACUGCCCUAUGGGUUGUAAACUGCUUUUGUUAGGGAAUAAACCUACUUAUGUAUAAGUAGCUGAAUGUACCUAAAGAAUAAGGAUCGGCUAACUCCGUGCCAGCCGCCGCAGUAA
Molecule: ribosomal RNA, 503 nt
Filed under: uncultured bacterium
Lineage: Bacteria
Description: partial 16S ribosomal RNA
Rfam family: Bacterial small subunit ribosomal RNA
Source: RNAcentral